GGGCGAAUAGCUCAGCCGGUCAGAGCACCUGUCUUACACACAGGGGGUCGGGGGUUCGAGUCCCUCUUCGCCCA
This 74-nucleotide transfer RNA is filed under the name Gemmatirosa kalamazoonensis. RNAcentral describes it as "tRNA-Val (TAC) (tRNA-Val-TAC-1-1)". It matches the Rfam family "tRNA". Rfam says of the family: Transfer RNA (tRNA) molecules are approximately 80 nucleotides in length. Their secondary structure includes four short double-helical elements and three loops (D, anti-codon, and T loops). Further hydrogen bonds mediate the characteristic L-shaped molecular structure. tRNAs have two regions of fundamental functional importance: the anti-codon, which is responsible for specific mRNA codon recognition, and the 3' end, to which the tRNAs corresponding amino acid is attached (by aminoacyl-tRNA synthetases). tRNAs cope with the degeneracy of the genetic code in two manners: having more than one tRNA (with a specific anti-codon) for a particular amino acid; and 'wobble' base-pairing, i.e. permitting non-standard base-pairing at the 3rd anti-codon position. The record is from Rfam by way of RNAcentral. Lineage: Bacteria; Pseudomonadati; Gemmatimonadota; Gemmatimonadia; Gemmatimonadales; Gemmatimonadaceae.